UCCAACACUAAAAACCUAGUGCACUCCAACACUAAAAACCUAGAGAACUCCAACACUAAAAACCUAGUGCACUUCAACACUUAAAACCUAGUGCACUCCAACACUCUAGUGCACUCCAACACUCUAGUGCACUCCAACACUAAAAACCUAGUGCGCUCCAACACUAAAAACCUAGAGCACUCCAACACUAAAAACCUAGUGCACUCCAACACUAAAAACCUAAAGCACUUCAACACUAAAAA
Molecule: non-coding RNA, 242 nt
Organism: Biomphalaria pfeifferi
Lineage: Eukaryota; Metazoa; Mollusca; Gastropoda; Planorbidae
Source: the annotation of a GenBank genome assembly